AACGCACAUUGCGCCCCCUGGCAUUCCGGGGGGCAUGCCUGUCCGAGCGUCAUUACAGCCCUCAAGCCCGGCUUGUGUAUUGGGCCGCCGUCCCUCCAUCUCCGGGGGGACGGGCCCGAAAGGCAGCGGCGGCACCGCGUCCGGUCCCCGAGCGUAUGGGGCUCUGUCACCCGCUCCGUGGGCCCGGCCGGCGCCAGCCUUGGCAGUCGCCUUCCAGACCAUGUUGACCUCGGAUCAGGUAGGGAUACCCGCUGAACUUAA
Molecule: unclassified non-coding RNA, 261 nt
Filed under: uncultured fungus
Lineage: Eukaryota; Fungi
Description: partial contains 5.8S ribosomal RNA, internal transcribed spacer 2, and large subunit ribosomal RNA
Source: RNAcentral